Molecule: ribosomal RNA, 408 nt
Filed under: uncultured bacterium
Lineage: Bacteria
Description: partial 16S ribosomal RNA
Rfam family: Bacterial small subunit ribosomal RNA
Source: RNAcentral
GACGAACGCUGGCGGCGUGCUUAACACAUGCAAGUCGAACGAAGUGGCGAACGGGUGAGUAACGCGUAAUCAACCUGCCCUUCAGAGGGGGACAACAGUUGGAAACGACUGCUAAUACCGCAUACUGAAGGAGGGGAUUGCGUCUGAUUAGCUAGUUGGGGGGGUAAAGGCCCACCAAGCCGAAGAUAAGUAGCCUGGCUGGAGGGGUUGACGGCCACAGUGGGAAUGGGGAACGGCCCAAGCUCCUGCGGGAGGCAAGAGUGGGGAAUCUUCCGCAAAGGAAGAAAGGUUGGCGGAGGAAAGGCGCGUGAGGGAUGACGGCCUUCGGGUUGUAAAGCUCUGUUAAUCGGGACGCGGUACCGAAAGAGAAAGCCACGGCUAACUACGUGCCAGCAGCCGCGGUAAUUC